RNAcentral lists this long non-coding RNA (418 nucleotides) under Ananas comosus (pineapple). RNAcentral's name for it is "long non-coding RNA (ACOM_LNC024860)". Lineage: Eukaryota; Viridiplantae; Streptophyta; Magnoliopsida; Poales; Bromeliaceae. The record is from RNAcentral.
AAAAUUUUUGGAAAAAACUUUAAAUUCCAUCAUUGUAGUUUCAUAUUUUCUCAUUUUAGUACCAUGUGGUUUAAAGUGCAUCAAUUUAGUGUUAUGUGGUUUCAUUUUUAUCUUUUUAUUAUCGAUUUCAUUAAUUUUUUCGUUAAAUUAGUGACAAAGUUAAAACUAAAAAAUACUAAAUGGAUAUUCAAUAAACUUAGAUGGGGUAUCUGAAGUUUUUUAUAUAUAAUUUAACGAAAUAUUAACGAAAAAACAGACGAAAAGAUAAAAAUAAAACUAUAGAAUACUAACUUGAUAUACUUUAAACCAUAGAACACUAACUGUAUUUGAUUUGAUUUAUAUAAUAACAAAAGUAAUUUUUCAUUAACAUUUGUUCGAUUAAAUGAAAAAAAAAUCACAUUUAUUUGGUCCGGUGAAA